Monodelphis domestica (gray short-tailed opossum) is the source of this 2341-nucleotide long non-coding RNA. Lineage: Eukaryota; Metazoa; Chordata; Mammalia; Didelphimorphia; Didelphidae. The record is from Ensembl.
GAGAAGUUAAGUGACUUGCCUAAGAUCACAUAAGUCAUAAAAAUCAAAGGCAAGGUUUGGACUUCAGCCUUGAGACUCCAAAGUCAAUGCUGUUUCCACUCUGCCAUCUUAGCGGAGUGGGGCAGGGAGAAGGACAAGAGGCUCCGAGCUGGCAGAAUAGCCUCUUGGUGGCCUCAGAAACCUACAAGACAGUCACAUUCAUUUAUAUGUGUAUCAUACACACACGGUGAGCAAAUUAGAAUUAUUCUGUCUCAUUUACUCAUUGACUCUAUUCUGAAAUCAACCCUAUUCCCCAUUUUGUCAAAGCCUGCUGGGGGCCAUCAGUCCAUGACACCUUGACAGAGUCACACAUGGUAUCUGGGAAGACCACAGAGUGGUCCUUGGUGAGAUGUGACUGCCCACUCUAUCCCCCUUGCAUGACUUCUUUCAUCAAUGCCCCUUACCUAUGAAUUGGCAUGAUUAUUAUUCCCCCUAGUCUCAAAAGAAUAAUGCAAGAGCAAAACACAUGUACCCUUAUUCCCCAAAACAUCACCAAAAGAUCAGACCUUCAAACCCAAUCCCAAAAGACUAUCAUGGGUUAACUUUUACUUGGGUACAUAAUUCCCAGCAAAACCGCAGCUACAGGCCAAGCCCAAAACUUUCUCAUGAAGCCAGCACACAAAUCAAUCAUAGAGGCCCAUAUGAUACAUACAGGUACAGUACAGGUACACUAAGCUUCAAUAUGUCUCAGUGACUCAAUUACACAAAUCAGUAACUCAAACUCCCUAGUAAGCCACCUGUGACGAAAUCAUUUAUCUUGUAUUCUGUCUGUAGUAGUAGUAGUAGUAGUAGUAGUAGUAGUAGUAGUAGUAGUAGUAGUAGUAGUAGUAGUCUCUCGGUAACCGAGGAUGACUAUUGUCUUUGUGUGUUUUUGUGCACAAAGACACUUGUGCGUGAAGGAGAUUUAAGUGGAAAAGUCGAUGCACAGAGACAGUCCCACUCUCUCAGAGUUGGAUGCCUGGGUCCAGUGGCACGAAAAAUCGUUACACCUGGAGACUUCCUCAGCUGCAUUGGAUGGCCGUGUUGUCCUUUGUGCUCCAACACGCCCUAAGCACUCCACAGUGCUUUUCUGCGUCGCCAUCUCAGCCGUUGAACCUUCUUAUUAGUUUCUUCCGUCUAUUCAGCCGAAGCAGUCUUCACAUGCUGGGAAUCCUGGAGUCGCGAGUGAGGCUGGACCCUGAUCAUGGCAUUCUGGUGCUGGAACAAGACCACUCCCAGCUAGGUAAGACCCCUUCCCCUAAACCUAAAAGUUUUGAACGGAUCAGGUUCUCUCCCCGGGGAAGAGGUCCCGGGCCCCCCUGAGGAUAGAGCAGGGUUUGGGGGGGUAGUAAUCCAGGGCCCCCACCAUAAGAGGAGUGGGUUCCAAAGCAGAGCAGUUUCAGAACAGGUAAAUUUAGGAGAAGAAAAGGGCCGCCAUGGGACACAGUGAAUUAAAAGAAAGCAAGCUAUUCACUGAAAUAAUUGAACAGUUUUCAGAAAAGGGGAGUAAAGGAGAGAAAAGCAAGCAAGUCACAGCUGACUAAGUACUUGGAGUUUAUUCAAAAUUGCAGUCUGUGGUUCCCCAAUGUAAGGAAGGUAGAUUUAGACACAGAAGAAAAAAUUAGCCCUGACUUAAAAUCUUAUAACAUCCCCGUUUGGGCUAAACAACCACCAGCAACCCCCCCACCUGAGGGAAGGAGGAGUGAAUGGACGGGAAUGAGGGGUCCCCCUCCUCCUCCACCUCCAUGACCCCCAGAUCCUUGGCUUUAGCAGAGAAAAGCCCAUUUUUCAACCCCUUGUCACCUGCCUUUUCGAAUAAGGCGUGUGGAGCCAAAAACUUUUUUUUACCUCUCACAGUUUUAAAGGGAUAGAUAGUACCUUGGAAACAUCAAGAUGGAUUUUUUCAUUCUUUCUUCUUCCUUUUUCUUUCUUCCUCAAGAUCUUGAGUAAACACCUUAACUCUUAAAAGCAUGCUUCCCUUAGUAUGUGUUUAACAUAUAUUAUGUGUGACUCCAUUUGUGUCUGCGUCAUAAGUUUUGUGUUCGUGUUUCCUUAGUUGGUCAUUUACAAAAAUUGCUUCAAAGCCCUCUGCUGAAAAGAGGUAAUUUGUGUUCCAUAAAUUUUCUCUCCUUUUGUUUUGGAAAAGGCCCAUCCAGAAAAAAAGGGGAAAACAUGAUUUGGUACACACAAAGGGAACUUUUAUCCCCAAAAUUGGCUAUUCUCUUAGAUUUGAUAUUAAAGAUCUAUAUAGGCAACCUUGGAAAACUGCUAAUUAGUCUGAAAAUGUACUGUGAUAAGUGGAAUUUAGGGUGAUAAUUGUGUC